CCAAUGUUGCCGGCAGUAUGGGAGAGCAGCAGGUCAUCUACAAAAAUCUGCUCUGCAGCCCCUCAUAAGAUAGCUGCUUAUGUAGGAAAUGUGUGUCAGAGCAAUCAUUCAUCCAUCACUCACGGGCUGCUGGACAACCACGCCAAAGUGGUCCUCCCAUGAGGAGCCAGGAAUACAACGAAAUAUGACGGAACCUACGAAAACUAAGCUAAGAAAAUGAACAUGACUGCGCAUUUUCUUUUCAAGGCCUGUAUGAAGUAAUUAGGGAAGUAACUCAGCUGUGAAUCCAGCAAGCAGAACGGAUAAGCAUGGUCAGACCGACCCACCAGGAGUCAACAUCAUCUCAUCAACAUCACAUCAUUGCCUAACAAUAGCUGAUGCCUACAGAUGCCAGGC
Long non-coding RNA from Myotis myotis, 396 nucleotides. RefSeq lists it as uncharacterized. NCBI's taxonomy places the organism in Eukaryota, Metazoa, Chordata, Mammalia, Chiroptera, Vespertilionidae. The record is from RefSeq and is a predicted model, not a curated record. The transcript is spliced from 3 exons.